GGCAGCUGACGAGUUCCAAAUAGGACGAAACGAGCGUUCUAGAU
Molecule: non-coding RNA, 44 nt
Filed under: Schistosoma mansoni
Lineage: Eukaryota; Metazoa; Platyhelminthes; Trematoda; Strigeidida; Schistosomatidae
Source: RNAcentral